This 425-nucleotide ribosomal RNA is filed under the name uncultured bacterium. RNAcentral's name for it is "bacterial SSU rRNA". It matches the Rfam family "Bacterial small subunit ribosomal RNA", at positions 355 to 776 of the family's 1533-position model. The record is from RNAcentral.
UAAGGAAUAUUGGUCAAUGGAGGGAACUCUGAACCAGCCAUGCCGCGUGCGGGAAGACGGCCCUAUGGGUUGUAAACCGCUUUUAUAUGGGAAGAAUGACCGGGAUUUAUCCUGGGAGAGACGGUACCAUACGAAUAAGCACCGGCUAACUCCGUGCCAGCAGCCGCGGUAAUACGGAGGGUGCAAGCGUUAUCCGGAAUCACUGGGUUUAAAGGGUACGUAGGCGGUUUAAUAAGUCAGAUGUGAAAUGUCGGAGCUUAACUUCGGAUCUGCAUUUGAAACUGUUAAACUUGAAUUGGGUGGAAGUGCAUGGAAUGCAUCAUGUAGCGGUGAAAUGCAUAGAUAUGAUGUAGAACACCAAUAGCGAAGGCAGUGCACUACGCCUUGAUUGACGCUGAGGUACGAAAGCGUGGGUAGCGAACAGG